UCUGCCAUUGUCGGUGAUGAGGACCUUUGGUAUCCCAAACCUGCAAAUGAUAGACCUCCAAGUGAAGGCUCUUAGCUUGGGCUCCGAUAUUGUGGCGAAAGGUUCGGCCUCUACCCAUUUUGUGAAGUACUCUACUGCUACAGCAACAAACUUUAAUUGACCUCUUGCCACAGGAAAGGGACCGAGGAUGUCAAUUCCCCAUUGUUCAAACGGGGCCGAACA
This 222-nucleotide long non-coding RNA is filed under the name Olea europaea subsp. europaea. Lineage: Eukaryota; Viridiplantae; Streptophyta; Magnoliopsida; Lamiales; Oleaceae. The record is from RNAcentral.